Molecule: long non-coding RNA, 713 nt
Organism: Doryrhamphus excisus (bluestripe pipefish)
Lineage: Eukaryota; Metazoa; Chordata; Actinopteri; Syngnathiformes; Syngnathidae
Source: RefSeq, a predicted model, not a curated record
GCAGGGUAGAUUUCCCGGCUUCAAUGGCCGCUCUGGUUCUUUCACCGUCGGACCGAUGGACAGUUUUUUUCGACGUUUUUCCACAACAAGAUACUCACAGGAGGAACACAUUGCUGAAGGACAACCUCUUGAAGAAACGUGAUGAACAUCUCUGCUCAUCUCCCAAAGCAUCUUUUCUGCCUGGUUGCCUCCCGGAUUGAUUACUGCUACUCUCUCCUCGUCGGCCUCCCUCACAAAUCCCUCCAUAAGCUUGAACUGGUCCAGAAUUCAGGCGCCCACAUCGUCACUAUAACCUCCUUCACCCCCUGCACUUCCAUCUAGAAUCAAAUUCAAACCCUUGCUGGAUACAUUCCAAAGCCAUCCACAUCCACCCUCACCCCACCCCUGUCUGACCUCUUCAACCUUGCCACCUCCUCUCGCUCCCGCCGAUGCACCUCCUCCGUCCACCUCACCGCCUCACCUCCCCACCUCGGCACCAUGGGUUGCGGAACUUUCAGCAGGUCUUGUCCCAAACUUUGGAACUUUGGUCCUGAAAUCAAAUGUUGUUAAUUUUUCAGAUGGCUAUAAUAUUGUUUUCCAUACUUUAGCCAACUAGUCCCAACUCUUUGAGUAGAUUCUCUAAUAUUAUUGGAUGUUGUCAUAAUUUGCGUACAUGCUUCUGCAGUUUAUAUGAAUGAUUGACAACUUGUUUCAAUAUUAAAACUAUUAAUGUA